UGGAAUUGAAAGAAUUUCUCUGGGUUGAAGUUUCUCACUGACCUGUGUUCCUGAACCAUGAAGCAUGAAUAUGUGGGCUGAGAAAUAGUUUCUCUUGAUAAAUAAACAAUUAACAAAUUUUAAAAAGAGAGAAAGAUGAAGCUGGGCUAAUGGAGAAGGAGAACAGAUAUACGCGGUAUGCCGCCAGACCCUGGCUACUGCUUGGCCUUCGUCCCACGCUGGUGGUACAAUAAAAAAACUAAGACCUGCUCUGAAUUCAUUUACGGAGGUUGCCCGGGGAACAACAACAACUUCCAAACUGAAGAUAUCUGCAUGGUCACCUGCCAAACACUCCGUUGGCCUAAAUAGCAUAAGGAGGAGCUUGAACAACCUCCAGGAUUUGCUUCACAAUCCAGGCCUCUCUCCAUGUGUGCCUGAUUGGUGCUCCAUAUUGGCUCCAUGGGCCAAACCUUGGCUGUUCCAGAAACUGAACCCCAGGAAUUGCUAACACCCUUUCUUUCAGCGUAGCUUCUCUUCAAACACAAUGCCCUUCCCUUUGACCACCUCUCAGUAUGAAACUCUGUGUCUUCAACUUUCAGAACCCCUAUGUAUUCCUAUGAAGCCUUCAGUUCGCUUAAUAAAGUGCACUGAUCUCUCUGAGGCUGAAUAAUUUGUAUCUGCAAUAUGCUGAUAUUUACAUAUACUCUCAUCUGUCUGUAUGCAAUUUUCAGAGAACGAGAAAUCAUUGCACUUUCUGGUAACACUGAAAAAGGGAGAGAGGAGUAUGAAAAUCCUGCAAAUUGAGAAUGCUGGUGACAUUGUUACUUUAGUAAAAUUGUUGUAAGAUGCUUAAGAAUGGAGCCAGUGCAGAUCCAGAUUUUGUGUGGUCUAAACCUGAUAAAUCAGGAGCUCCUUUAGAAACCAAGCACAGGCCAGGUGCCGUGGCUCAUGCCUGUAAUCCCAGCACUUUGGGAAGCUGAGGCCAGUGGAUCACCUGAGGUUGGGAGUUUGAAACAAUGUGGAGAAUCCCUGGCUCUACUGAAAAUAUAAAAAAUUAGCCAGGCAUGGUAGUGCAUGCCUGUAAUCCCAACUGCUCAGGAGACUGAGGCAGGAGAAUUGCUUGAACCUGGGAGGCGGAGGUUGCAGUGAGCCGAGAUUGCGCCAUUGCACCCCAGCCUGGGCAACG
Long non-coding RNA from Callithrix jacchus (white-tufted-ear marmoset), 1165 nucleotides. RefSeq lists it as uncharacterized. Lineage: Eukaryota; Metazoa; Chordata; Mammalia; Primates; Cebidae. The record is from RefSeq and is a predicted model, not a curated record.